GGGAGGCAGCAGUGGGGAAUAUUGCGCAAUGGGGGAAAGCCUGAUGCAGCAACGCCGCGUGAGUGAUGAAGGCCUUCGGGUUGUAAAGCUCUGUCUUCUGGGACGAUAAUGACGGUACCAGAGGAGGAAGCCACGGCUAACUACGUGCCAGCAGCCGCGGUAAU
This 164-nucleotide ribosomal RNA is filed under the name uncultured Bacillota bacterium. Its description in RNAcentral is "uncultured Firmicutes bacterium partial 16S ribosomal RNA". It matches the Rfam family "Bacterial small subunit ribosomal RNA", at positions 343 to 524 of the family's 1533-position model. The record is from RNAcentral. Lineage: Bacteria; Bacillati; Bacillota.